Molecule: ribosomal RNA, 739 nt
Filed under: Pacispora scintillans
Lineage: Eukaryota; Fungi; Glomeromycota; Glomeromycetes; Diversisporales; Pacisporaceae
Description: SSU rRNA
Rfam family: Eukaryotic small subunit ribosomal RNA
Source: RNAcentral
AGGGUCGAUUCCGGAGAGGGAGCCUGAGAAACGGCUACCACAUCCAAGGAAGGCAGCAGGCGCGCAAAUUACCCAAUCCCGAUACGGGGAGGUAGUGACAAUAAAUAACAAUACAGGGCUCUUAUGGGUCUUGUAAUUGGAAUGAGUACAAUUUAAAUCUCUUAACGAGGAACAAUUGGAGGGCAAGUCUGGUGCCAGCAGCCGCGGUAAUUCCAGCUCCAAUAGCGUAUAUUAAAGUUGUUGCAGUUAAAAAGCUCGUAGUUGAAUUUCGGAAUUUUUUUAUCGGUUGAAUCAACAGGUUCGUACUGAUUUUAAGAAUUUCUACCUUCUGGAGAACCUUAAUGUCAUUUAUUUGAUGUUUUGGGAAACCAGGACUGUUACCUUGAAAAAAUUAGAGUGUUUAAAGCAGGCUUAUGUCUGAAUAUAUUAGCAUGGAAUAAUGAAAUAGGACGGCAUGGUUCUAUUUUGUUGGUUUCUAGGAUCACCGUAAUGAUUAAUAGGGAUAGUUGGGGGCAUUAGUAUUCAAUUGUCAGAGGUGAAAUUCUUGGAUUUAUUGAAGACUAACUUCUGCGAAAGCAUUUGCCAAGGAUGUUUUCAUUAAUCAAGAACGAAAGUUAGGGGAUCGAAGACGAUCAGAUACCGUCGUAGUCUUAACCAUAAACUAUGCCGACUAGGAAUCGGACGAAGUUAAUUUUUUAAUGACUCGUUCGGCGCCUUACGGGAAACCAAAGUGUUUGGG